Molecule: long non-coding RNA, 4581 nt
Filed under: Homo sapiens (human)
Lineage: Eukaryota; Metazoa; Chordata; Mammalia; Primates; Hominidae
Description: endogenous retrovirus group K13 member 1
Source: RNAcentral
UCGCGGGGGGCGGGGCGUCGCGGGCACAGCGUGAGGGCCGCCGUUGCUGGAGUUCAGCUUAGGGAAGGAGGACUCUGAGGAGGCCCCGAGCGGCGGAGCGCUUCGGGGGAGGCGCCCGCGCAGACGCGAGGCCCAUAGCCAGGACCACCACCUAGCUGUUCUACAGUCUGGGGACGACGGUUUAAAAAUUUAUGCCUUGCAUGCGAUGUGCAGUGGGUGAUGGAAGAACGUCUACAUGGCUUUAAAAUUGGAUUUAAAAGGCAAAUAUUUUAAAUGAAGGAAAACCCAAGAAGUUUACUUGAUUCCUUAUCUUCCAGGAUGCGACUUUUGUUUAUUUAUUUAUUUUAUUUUGAUGGAGUCUCGCUGCCGUCGCGCAGGCUGGAGUGCAGUGACGCGAUCUUGACCCGGGAACCUCCACCUCCCGGGUUCAAGCGAUUCUCCUUCCUCAACCACCCGAGUAGCUGGGAUUACAGGCGUGUGCCACCAUGCCCGGCUAAUUUUUGUGUUUUUAGUAGAGACCGGGGAAGGUAUGGGCCCUCUUUUGAGAAAAAUGCAGAGUGACACUGAAUUUUGUAACUACAUCAGGAGGCUCUUGAACCUUCUGCAGCUCACUCGUGGAGUUUGUAGAGAUGCGUAAUAAUCCGAAGUGUUAAGGAAGAAGGUUCUGUUGAGAAAAAGUUGGAGGGCUGAAAGGGAUGCCUUUCGCUAUUUCGACAUGUGUGGCUGUACCCCAGAGUGCCCUGGCUAACACGCAAAACCAUGAAUUAGGCGGCUUGGCGAGGCUCAGUGGAGGCUGGGGCCGAGAGUCAUGUCAAAGUUUGUGGGGUUAACCUGCACCCAGUGACAGUCAUGGCGAAGUUUGUGAGGUUAACUCGCACCCAGUAACGCUGUUCCAAUGCAAGGUGUGUAUUUGGUGUCAUCCACGGGAAGAGGAAACAGCAAAUUUUCUCAUGGCCUUGGCAGUUCCACAUGAUGGACAUUUCAUAUCUGCAGUUUUCUUCGCAUGAGAUGGCUUUUUUGCACAAAAACACUGGAAUCCAGUGAGCAAGAAUGAUAGAAUGCAAGAUGGAUUUCCACAUGAGGAAGUGUCACGAACAAGCGUUUUGCAUCUCUGUCAGCUGGAUUCCCCCAUGUGUACGUAUGUGAGAACAUGCCGUGUUUCCUGUCUGUAAUGGUAGAGGCAGCCCUGAUACUGGAUUUUCACCUGAGGAUGGAUAGAUCUUCAGGGUUCAAGUGGGUUUGCAUCUGGACUUUAGGGUGGCCCUGUAGGCCCUGUGUGAGAAGCCCCCUUCCCAGUGAACUUUCCCUUGUGUGCCCGCGUGGACAGCCAACAGGGGGAGCAGUGCGAGCGUGAAGGCAGACAGUGGCCUGGCCCAGUCUGAUGGGAGAGACCCACCGACCCUGUGGGGCUGGUCCCUACAUCUGGCGCUCUGACGUGGGGCUCUCCCUCGCUGUGUGAAGUUGCACCCUGAGUGCGGGAUCAGCGGAGGAGUUCAACGAGAGAUUCCUGAGGAUUGCAGUCUAUAAACUUGGUGGAAAAGAACUACAGCCUGUGUGGGUCCCCUCCCGACAAUUAAAAUUGCACCAUAACUCCAAAGAUGAAACGCUCCCAGAAAGAAAAGGCAAAGACCCAUCGGAAACAAAAGAGCAACUUUCACCGCCUGAUACAUACACUUCAUGACAUCCACAUUGAGACAAAAUCUCGCCGUGUGACCUACAACACCUCUCGUUCAACCCCACCUACUUGGGGUCGAAUACAGAUUUUAUCUCAUCAAACAGAAAAAUUCUUAACAGAAAAAGGAAUCCCAAAAAUGACUGGUAAUAUAAUUCUGGCUGCCUUUAUGGUAGUCAGUGCAGCGGUAAGUAUACCACCGGUCGGGGCAACUCAAAAUUAUACUUAUUGGGCAUAUGUUCCUUUUCCCCUUCUAAUUCGGUCUGUCUCCUGGAGGGACUCUCCAGUAGAAGUUUACACUAAUAAUAGUGCAUUCAUGCCGAUCCCUAAUGAUGAUCGGUUUCCAGCUCAACCGGAAGAAGAAGGUAUGCACUUUAAUCUGUCAAUUGGCUAUAAAUAUCCACCAUUAUGUAUUGGGAAGUCGCCUGGUUGUUUAGCUUAUUCUUAACAGAAUUGGAUGUGGACUGUACCGUCCUUUACAAAUGAUUCUUAUCAAGUAUAUAAUGUGUUCAGUACUAACUCUUUUCAACUUCUCACUGUCAAACGUACCCCACAUGAGGCAUGGAGAGUUCCUCUCACUACCAAAACUAAUAAAACAAAAGGACUGCCGGACUGUCCAAAGAAACCUACAAAUGGGCCUUUUAUAGUGACUUCAAUUUUAUGGGAUAAUUGUAAUGCUCCCAAGGCUGUUGUACUCCAAACUCUAGCCAUGGGUAUUGUUAUUGAUUGGGCUCCAAAAGGACAUUAUUGGCAAGAUUGCUCCAGCAAAAAUACCUUAUGCUCGGAGUUUAUUUAUUCCUUAGAUUAUAUAGAGCAUGGGUGGCAGUCUUACACGAUGAGACAACGGGUGUCUCCUUACCCAUUUAAAUGGAUGGACACAGGUAUUGCUCCUCCUAGACCAAAAAUUAUUCAUCCCUUUUUUACCCCAGAACAUCCUGAACUAUGGAAAUUAGCUGCAGCUUUGUCGGGAAUAAAGAUAUGGAACACUACCUAUCAGCUCCUUCGUACUAAAACCAAAACACCCACAUUCAACAUCACCCUUAUUUCUGAAUGGGUGAUACCCAUUAGGAGCUGUGUCAAACCCCCUUACAUGCUGUUGGUUGGAAAUAUAAUUAUGAUGCCUGAUGCACAAACUAUAGAAUGUCAUAACUGUAAGCUGUUCACUUGCAUUGAUGCAACUUUUAAUCCCACUACAAGUAUUCUCUUGGUAAGGGCUAGGGAGGGGGUAUGGAUACCAGUUUCUCUACAUCGUCCAUGGGAGUCUUCCCCCUCUAUUCACAUAGUCAAUGAAGUUCUUAAAGACAUCCUCAAAAGAACAAAGAGAUUUAUUUUUACUCUUAUUGCAGUCCUUGCAGGACUACUUGCGGUUACUGCAACAGCAGCAACUGCUGGAGUUGCCAUCCGCAGUUCUGUUCAAACUGCUCACUAUGUUGAAGCAUGCCAGAAAAAUUCCUCCAGACUUUGGAAUUCUCAGGCGCAAAUUGAUCAAAAAUUAGCUAAUCAGAUUAAUGAUCUCCGCCAAAGUGUAACCUGGCUGGGAGAUAGAGUUAUGAACUUGCAACACCGUAUGCAAUUACAGUGUGAUUGGAAUACUUCUGAUUAUUGCAUAACGCCUUAUGCUUAUAAUCAAGAUCAACAUAGCUGGGAAAAUGUCUCAAGACAUUUAAAAGCCUGGGAUGAUAACUUAACCUUGGAUAUUUCACAACUUAAAGAGCAAAUCUUUGAGGCUUCACAAGCCCAUUUAUCCACAGUUCCUGGCUCACACAUUUUUGAAGGCAUAACUAAACAAUUACCUGAUUUUAAUCCCUUCAAAUGGCUCAAACCCGUCAGAGGAUCAUUGUUGUUACUGGCAUUAUUAAUAUUGGUAUGCUUAUGUUGUCUCCUUUUAGUCUGCAGAUGCCUCUAAGGAGUCCGAAACCAAGUCCGAAGUCAACAACAAGCAAUGAUGGCGAUGGCGAUUCUAGUUAAUAAAAAGGGGGGAGAUGUGGGCGGCAAGCCACCCAGGCACCGAGGCAAGAGACAGAGGACACGAGCUGUUCCAGUAUAAUAAAAUAUAAAACAAGAAUAGUUAUACCAGAUAUAGAUCUUAGAUAUGAUUAUAUACGAAUAUCAUUAAUCAUGAGUUUGUAGCAAUUACUUUUUAUUCCAAUAUUAUGAUAAUCCUCGCUCUAUAAUCAUAGCCUAGGAAAAACCAGGCCAUACAGAGAUAGGAGCUGAGGGGACAUAGUGAAGUGUGACCAGAAGACAAGAGUGCGAGCCUUCUGUUAUGCCCGGACAGGGCCACCAGAGGGCUCCUUGGUCUAGCGGUGACGCCAGCGUCUGGGAAGACACCCGUUACCAGGCGGAUCGUGGCCCAGCCGUAGCAAAAGGUGUCAAGGAACACCUUUUGCAAAAGGUGUCAACACCCGCUACUUAGCAGACUGGGAAAGGGGGGCGGUCUCCCUUUCCCCGGGGGAGUUUAGAGAAGACUCUGUUCCUCCACCUCUUGUGGAGGGCCUGACAUCAGUCAGGCUUGCCCGUAGUUAUCCGGAGGCCUAACUGUCUCCCUGUGAUGCUGUGCUUCAGUGGUCACGCUCCUAGUCUGCCUUCAUUUUCCAUCCUGUACACCUGGCUCUGCCUUCUAGAUAGCAGUAGUAAAUUAGUGAAAAUACUAAUAGUCCCUGAUAUGCAGAAAUAAUGGCAUAAGCUGUCUUUCUCUCUGUCUCCUCUCCCUCUCUGCCUCGGCUGCCAGGCAGGGAAGGGCCCCCUGUCCAGUGGACACAUGACCCAUGUGACCUUACCUAUCAUUGGAGGUGACUCACAUUCUUUACCCUGCCCCUUCUGCCUUGUAUCCAAUAACAGCGCAGUCAGACAUUCAGGGCCACUACCGGUCUCCGCACAUUGGUGGUAGUGGUCCCCCGGGCCCAGCU